UAGAGUUUGAUCCUGGCUCAGAUUGAACGCUGGCGGCAGGCCUAACACAUGCAAGUCGAGCGGCAGCGGGAAGUAGCUUGCUACUUUGCCGGCGAGCGSCGGACGGGUGAGUAAUGUCUGGGAAACUGCCUGAUGGAGGGGGAUAACUACUGGAAACGGUAGCUAAUACCGCAUGACGUCGCAAGACCAAAGUGGGGGACCUUCGGGCCUCACGCCAUCGGAUGUGCCCAGAUGGGAUUAGCUAGUAGGUGAGGUAAUGGCUCACCUAGGCGACGAUCCCUAGCUGGUCUGAGAGGAUGACCAGCCACACUGGAACCGAGACACGGUCCAGACUCCUACGGGAGGCAGCAGUGGGGAAUAUUGCACAAUGGGCGCAAGCCUGAUGCAGCCAUGCCGCGUGUGUGAAGAAGGCCUUAGGGUUGUAAAGCACUUUCAGCGAGGAGGAAGGCGUUGUAGUUAAUAGCUGCAACGAUUGACGUUACUCGCAGAAGAAGCACCGGCUAACUCCGUGCCAGCAGCCGCGGUAAUACGGAGGGUGCAAGCGUUAAUCGGAAUUACUGGGCGUAAAGCGCACGCAGGCGGUUUGUUAAGUCAGAUGUGAAAUCCCCGAGCUUAACUUGGGAACUGCAUUUGAAACUGGCAAGCUAGAGUCUUGUAGAGGGGGGUAGAAUUCCAGGUGUAGCGGUGAAAUGCGUAGAGAUCUGGAGGAAUACCGGUGGCGAAGGCGGCCCCCUGGACAAAGACUGACGCUCAGUCAAGCG
Molecule: ribosomal RNA, 761 nt
Filed under: uncultured bacterium
Lineage: Bacteria
Description: bacterial SSU rRNA
Rfam family: Bacterial small subunit ribosomal RNA
Source: RNAcentral